RNAcentral lists this ribosomal RNA (541 nucleotides) under uncultured bacterium. Its description in RNAcentral is "bacterial SSU rRNA". It matches the Rfam family "Bacterial small subunit ribosomal RNA", at positions 355 to 895 of the family's 1533-position model. The record is from RNAcentral.
UGAGGAAUAUUGGUCAAUGGGCGAGAGCCUGAACCAGCCAAGUAGCGUGCAGGAUGACGGCCCUAUGGGUUGUAAACUGCUUUUAUGCGGGGAUAAAGUGAGGGACGUGUCCUUCAUUGCAGGUACCGCAUGAAUAAGGACCGGCUAAUUCCGUGCCAGCAGCCGCGGUAAUACGGAAGGUCCGGGCGUUAUCCGGAUUUAUUGGGUUUAAAGGGAGCGUAGGCCGUGGAUUAAGCGUGUUGUGAAAUGCAGGUGCUCAACGUCUGCACUGCAGCGCGAACUGGUUCACUUGAGUGUGCACAACGCAGGCGGAAUUCGUCGUGUAGCGGUGAAAUGCUUAGAUAUGACGAAGAACUCCGAUUGCGAAGGCAGCUUGCGGGAGCACAACUGACGCUGAAGCUCGAAAGUGCGGGUAUCGAACAGGAUUAGAUACCCUGGUAGUCCGCACGGUAAACGAUGGAUGCCCGUUGUCAGGCUGUUUCAGUCUGGUGACCAAGCGAAAGCAUUAAGCAUCCCACCUGGGGAGUACGCCGGCNACGGU